GUUGUUGUGGCCGAGGUUUUAAGGCAACGGGCUUGAAAUCCUUUGAGGUCUCCAAUCACACGUUCGAAUCCUGUCAACGCA
Molecule: non-coding RNA, 81 nt
Organism: Caranx melampygus (bluefin trevally)
Lineage: Eukaryota; Metazoa; Chordata; Actinopteri; Carangiformes; Carangidae
Source: the annotation of a GenBank genome assembly